GCUCCUUUGACGUUAGCGGCGGACGGGUGAGUAACACGUGGAUAACCUACCUAUAAGACUGGGAUAACUUCGGGAAACCGGAGCUAAUACCGGAUAACAUAUUGAACCGCAUGGUUCAAUAGUGAAAGGCGGCUUUGCUGUCACUUAUAGAUGGAUCCGCGCCGUAUUAGCUAGUUGGUAAGGUAACGGCUUACCAAGGCAACGAUACGUAGCCGACCUGAGAGGGUGAUCGGCCACACUGGAACUGAGACACGGUCCAGACUCCUACGGGAGGCAGCAGUAGGGAAUCUUCCGCAAUGGGCGAAAGCCUGACGGAGCAACGCCGCGUGAGUGAUGAAGGUCUUCGGAUCGUAAAACUCUGUUAUCAGGGAAGAACAAAUGUGUAAGUAACUGUGCACAUCUUGACGGUACCUGUACAGAAACCUCGGC
RNAcentral lists this ribosomal RNA (429 nucleotides) under unidentified bacterium TMB804. RNAcentral's name for it is "bacterial SSU rRNA". It matches the Rfam family "Bacterial small subunit ribosomal RNA", at positions 80 to 497 of the family's 1533-position model. The record is from RNAcentral.